RNAcentral lists this ribosomal RNA (524 nucleotides) under Enterobacteriaceae bacterium symbiont of Crypticerya sp. RNAcentral describes it as "bacterial SSU rRNA". It matches the Rfam family "Bacterial small subunit ribosomal RNA", at positions 485 to 1009 of the family's 1533-position model. Lineage: Bacteria; Pseudomonadati; Pseudomonadota; Gammaproteobacteria; Enterobacterales; Enterobacteriaceae. The record is from RNAcentral.
AAGAAGCACCGGCUAACUCCGUGCCAGCAGCCGCGGUAAUACGGAGGGUGCGAGCGUUAAUCGGAAUUACUGGGCGUAAAGCGUACGCAGGCGGUCUGUUAAGUCAGAUGUGAAAUCCCCGGGCUCAACCUGGGAACUGCAUUUGAAACUGGCAGGCUAGAGUCUCGUAGAGGGGGGAGAAUUCCAGGUAUAGCGGUGAAAUGCGUAGAGAUCUGGAGGAAUACCGGUGGCGAAGGCGGCCCCCUGGACGAAGACUGACGCUCAGGUACGAAAGCGUGGGGAGCAAACAGGAUUAGAUACCCUGGUAGUCCACGCUGUAAACGAUGUCGAUUUGAAGGUUGUGGCCUUGAGCCGUGGCUUUCGGAGCUAACGCGUUAAAUCGACCGCCUGGGGAGUACGGCCGCAAGGUUAAAACUCAAAUGAAUUGACGGGGGCCCGCACAAGCGGUGGAGCAUGUGGUUUAAUUCGAUGCAACGCGAAGAGCCUUACCUACUCUUGACAUCCAGAGAACUUGGCAGAGAUGC